GCCUGCCUAGCUCAAUCGGAUAGAGCGUCAGACUCUUACUGAUUAUAGGCGGAUCUGAAGGCUGCGAGUUCGACCCUCGCGGUGGGCU
This 88-nucleotide transfer RNA is filed under the name Armillaria novae-zelandiae. It matches the Rfam family "tRNA". From Rfam's summary of the family: Transfer RNA (tRNA) molecules are approximately 80 nucleotides in length. Their secondary structure includes four short double-helical elements and three loops (D, anti-codon, and T loops). Further hydrogen bonds mediate the characteristic L-shaped molecular structure. tRNAs have two regions of fundamental functional importance: the anti-codon, which is responsible for specific mRNA codon recognition, and the 3' end, to which the tRNAs corresponding amino acid is attached (by aminoacyl-tRNA synthetases). tRNAs cope with the degeneracy of the genetic code in two manners: having more than one tRNA (with a specific anti-codon) for a particular amino acid; and 'wobble' base-pairing, i.e. permitting non-standard base-pairing at the 3rd anti-codon position. The record is from Rfam by way of RNAcentral. Lineage: Eukaryota; Fungi; Basidiomycota; Agaricomycetes; Agaricales; Physalacriaceae.